UACAGAGGUCUCAAGCGUUGUUCGGAUUCAUUGGGCGUAAAGGGUGCGUAGGCGGCGCGGUAAGUCGGGUGUGAAAUCUCGGGGCUUAACUCCGAAACUGCAUUCGAUACUGCCGUGCUUGAGGACUGGAGAGGAGACUGGAAUUUACGGUGUAGCGGUGAAAUGCGUAGAUAUCGUAAGGAAGGCCAGUGGCGAAGGCGGGUCUCUGGACAGUUCCUGACGCUGAGGCACGAAGGUCAGGGGAGCAAACGGG
Molecule: ribosomal RNA, 253 nt
Filed under: uncultured bacterium
Lineage: Bacteria
Description: partial 16S ribosomal RNA
Rfam family: Bacterial small subunit ribosomal RNA
Source: RNAcentral